AAUAGAUACCCUGGUAGUCCACGCCGUAAACGGUGGGCGCUAGGUGUGGGGGACUUUCCACGUCCUCUGUGCCGCAGCUAACGCAUUAAGCGCCCCGCCUGGGGAGUACGGCCGCAAGGCUAAAACUCAAAGGAAUUGACGGGGGCCCGCACAAGCGGCGGAGCAUGUGGCUUAAUUCGACGCAACGCGAAGAACCUUACCAAGGCUUGACAUGCAGGGAAAUCUCGUAGAGAUACGGGGUCCGCAAGGGCUCUGCACAGGUGGUGCAUGGUUGUCGUCAGCUCGUGUCGUGAGAUGUUGGGUUAAGUCCCGCAACGAGCGCAACCCUUGUCCUAUGUUGCCAGCGAGUAAUGUCGGGGACUCAUAGGAGACUGCCGGGGUCAACUCGGAGGAAGGUGGGGAUGACGUCAAAUCAUCAUGCCCCUUAUGUCUUGGGUCUGCACACAUGCUACAAUGGUCGGUACAAAGGGCUGCGAGGCCGCGAAGGUGGAGCGAAUCCCGAAAAAGCCGGCCUCAGUUCGGAUUGGGGU
This 530-nucleotide ribosomal RNA is filed under the name uncultured bacterium. Its description in RNAcentral is "bacterial SSU rRNA". It matches the Rfam family "Bacterial small subunit ribosomal RNA", at positions 777 to 1304 of the family's 1533-position model. The record is from RNAcentral.